UCACAGGUUACAAAAUUAACCAAAGCAGUUUAGUAGUAGCAGGUUCUUCGGUGUCAUACAUAUCUAACACACACCAUGGAGCAAAGAUACGAAAAAUGUAUACCACAUAGAUAGUAUGAAAUCAUAAAGCAAUGUAAGCAGUAGCAGGUUCAGUAGUACAUGCAGUUUAUGACAUCAGGUAGAUAGCUUAAAUACAGAUCAAAUUAACCACAACUAACACACACCAUGGAGCAAAGAUACGAGAAAUGUUUCAGGCUCAUCUUGCACGGUGCCUGCCUCUGAACUUCCCUUGUCAGAUUUUGGUCUUCUCGAGACCCGAGUGCGUCNNNN
This 330-nucleotide long non-coding RNA is filed under the name Hordeum vulgare. RNAcentral describes it as "long non-coding RNA (HVUL_LNC021335)". The record is from RNAcentral. Lineage: Eukaryota; Viridiplantae; Streptophyta; Magnoliopsida; Poales; Poaceae.